Molecule: ribosomal RNA, 484 nt
Filed under: uncultured archaeon
Lineage: Archaea
Description: bacterial SSU rRNA
Rfam family: Archaeal small subunit ribosomal RNA
Source: RNAcentral
AUGCACGAAAGUGUGAUAGGGGAACCCUAAGUGCUUAGCUUAGCUAGGCUUUUGCCAAGUUAAAACAGCUUGGCGAAUAAGUGGUGGGUAAGACUGGUGCCAGCCGCCGCGGUAACACCAGCGCCACGAGUGGGGACCACAAUUAUUGGGCCUAAAGCGUCCGUAGCCGGUUUGGCAAAUCUUUUGUGAAAUCAUACGGCUCAACCGUAUGACGCGCAGAAGACACUACCAGACUUGGAACCGGGAGGAGUCAGAGGUAUUCAUUGGGGAGCGGUAAAAUGCUAUAAUCCUGUGAAGACCACCUGUGGCGAAGGCGUCUGACUAGAACGGAUUCGACGGUGAGGGACGAAAGCUAGGGGAUCGAUCCGGAUUAGAUACCCGAGUAGUCCUAGCUGUAAACGCUGUGAGUCAGGUGUUGCAUAUUCUACGUGAAUGUGCAGUGUCGAAAUGAAGAUGUUAAACUCACCGCCUGGGGAGUAUGGUC